Molecule: non-coding RNA, 147 nt
Organism: Zonotrichia albicollis (white-throated sparrow)
Lineage: Eukaryota; Metazoa; Chordata; Aves; Passeriformes; Passerellidae
Source: RefSeq, a predicted model, not a curated record
GUGAGGGAAAUUUUGAAGCGCACAUUUACGAAGGCCAGAAACAGCAUGGGCAUUGGCACGUUAAUAGCAAACAAUGUUUAUGAUGCAGCCUACCCACUUCAUGAUGGUGAAUAUGAAGGCCAAAAUGAUGACAUGAAUGAAAGAAAG